Pipra filicauda (Wire-tailed manakin) is the source of this 589-nucleotide long non-coding RNA. RefSeq lists it as uncharacterized. NCBI's taxonomy places the organism in Eukaryota, Metazoa, Chordata, Aves, Passeriformes, Pipridae. The record is from RefSeq and is a predicted model, not a curated record. The transcript is spliced from 3 exons.
GGAAGCUGAGGGGAGCACCGGAAUCAUUAGCCUUAGCCAAGGUUAAGUGGUAAUGCCUUCCAAUAGGUUCUCCAGAGCAUGUUUGCAGAUAUACAAGUAUAUACCACAAAUGGUAAAAAACAGAGGAGAACCUCAAGUAAAACAAAGAUACACUGAGCAUUCACGUGCCAUUUGGAGAGAUGCCAGUUUUAGAGAAGAACUGGCAAGGCUGUGACAGAGCCAGAAGCUUUAUCCACAAGGCUUAAUUCAGGGAUGCUGACAGUUGCUCUUUGAAGACCUCACCUUUUUGUCAUGGUUAUUAAUAAGCAAUGCCUUUAAUGCUCAGUAUAGCUACGCGUGUGCUCCAUGCAAAGGUCUGAACAACCAACCCAAGAUCAUGGCAGCAGAUGGAACUCAGACAAGACAAGUGACAUCGCGGCCCUUUGCUCUGGGACACUUCCUAUAUGACACGAGAGUGAUGCAACAGUCACACCCCUCAAGUCAUGCCUGUGUUAUGUUUUUUUAAAAUUAAUAUCAUACUACAGCUUUGUUGAAAAAGAGUAAGAAGGGCAUGAAUAUUUUGAACUUUAAUAAACUUGGUGAACAAGAA